UACGGAAGGCAGCAGUGGGGAAUAUUGCACAAUGGGCGCAAGCCUGAUGCAGCCAUGCCGCGUGUAUGAAGAAGGGCCUUCGGGUUGUAAAGUACUUUCAGCGGGGAGGAAGGCGGUGAAGUUAAUAGCUUCACCGAUUGACGUUACCCGCAGAAGAAGCACCGGCUAACUCCGUGCCAGCAGCCGCGGUAAUACGGAGGGUGCAAGCGUUAAUCGGAAUUACUGGGCGUAAAGCGCACGCAGGCGGUCUGUCAAGUCGGAUGUGAAAUCCCCGGGCUUAACCUGGGAACUGCAUUCGAAACUGGCAGGCUAGAGUCUUGUAGAGGGGGUAGAAUUCCAGGUGUAGCGGUGAAAUGCGUAGAGAUCUGGAGGAAUACCGGUGGCGAAGGCGGCCCCUGGGACAAAGCUGACGCUCAGGUGCGAAAGCGUGGGGAGCAAACG
RNAcentral lists this ribosomal RNA (441 nucleotides) under uncultured bacterium. RNAcentral describes it as "bacterial SSU rRNA". It matches the Rfam family "Bacterial small subunit ribosomal RNA", at positions 340 to 774 of the family's 1533-position model. The record is from RNAcentral.